UAAAAUUCUCUCCAACAUUUUUAUAAAACCCCAAAUUUUUAUAAAAGUGUUUAUUAGGCAAUUCUUGAUUUAUUUAGAAAUCUUGUUUUUAACUAAUAAAUUAUGAUUAUUGCAUGAUAAUUUAAUUUCUAUUUCAUUGAUUACAAUCCAUAAUUUGAUUAAUAAAAAUUUGAUAUUAGAAAGUUUAUAGCCAAAUUUUAUAAAGUUUUUAAGCUUUAAGAUUUAUAAAUUUGGAUUUUGGGCUCUUUAGGGUUUUUGGAAUAUUGUUUGAUGUUCAUCAUCAUAAUGAAGUAUAAUUAGAAUAUUUUAAUUUAUUUUUAGGGUUUUAUACCCUUUUUCAAUUAUAACAAAGCUUGAAAGUUUCAUUCAAAUUAUAGCAUUGGCAUUUCCUAUUGUAGUUAAGCAACUUACUAGAAUCGUAAGUGUCAAGUAUAUUAGUCCUAGGUCUUAGAUGGAUCCUAGUUUAUGCAAGAUUUUGACCUAAUUUAUACUACUAGGCCAUGGCAUGAUGUGCAUGAAUGGUUAUUAUAAAGAUGCAUGAGUCCGAGAAUGACCUGAAUUGACAGUUGUCACAGUAUCCCCCACUUAAAAAGAAUUUCGUCCCGAAAUUCAUUCUAUGUCAUCGCUUGUCAUCGCAUGGGAAAAGUUGUGGAUACUUUUCCUUCAUGAAGUCCUCACGCUCCCAGGUGUACUCCGGCCCGCGUUUUGAGUUCCAUCGAACUUUCACAAUCGGGAUCUUACUCCGCUUAAGUUGUUUUACUUCCCUGUCAAGGAUUUCCAUCGGUUCCUCAAUGAAGUUUAGCUUAUCAUUGAUCUUAAUUUCCUCCAGGGGUACUAUCAAUGUUUCGUCGGCUAGACAUUUCUUAAGGUUGGAGACGUGGAAUGUGUCGUGAAUGGCGCUUAACUCUUGGGGCAACUGGAGUUUAUAAGCUACCAGACCAAUCCUUUCAAUGACUUCAAAGGGUCCAACAUAUAUAUCUCCGGCUUAGUUUUCCUUUCUUACCAAAACGUACAAGCCCUUUCCAAGGCGACACUUUUAAAAGUACCUUGUCUCCUACUUGGAAUUCUAAUGGUUUUCGAUGAUUUAUCCGCAUAACUUUGCUAACGAUCUCUAGCAGCUUUCAGCCUAUCCUUGAUGAUAGCAAUCUUGUCAGAUGUUUCCUGGAUAAGUUCGACUUUAGUCAACUGUCUGUCUCCAAUUUCUGUCCAGCAUAAGGGCGAACGACACUUGCGCCCAUACAAUGCUUCAUAUGGAGCACAUUGGAUACUCGUGUGGUAACUGUUAUUGUAGGAAAACUCAAUUAGAGGCAAAUGAGUAUCCCAACUUCCUUUUAACUCAAUGACACACACUCGUAGCAUGUCUUCCAAUGUUUGUAUUGUUCUCUCUGUUUGCCCAUCUGUCUGAGGGUGGUAAGCUGUGCUCAAAUCUAUCUUGGUUCCUAGUGCCUUCUGUAACAUCCACGGAAUACAAUACAAUUCUUCUUCAGGUAUUUGUGGAUCGUCAUGCUUGAUACUAUGUUUAAACUUCUUCCUGGCUUCUCACCGUGUAUGAUAAGGGUUUCUCCAUUAAGGAGAGGCACUCUAAUGAUUUUCUCGUAACAACCAAUGUCCGCUCUAUUUUUGGAUAACCAAUCCAUCCCUACUAUCACAUCAACACUACCUAUCUCUAUAGGAAUUAGGUCAAUGCUAAAGAGUUAUCAGCUAAAUUCAGAGUACAACAAGGAAUUAUAUCAUUAGCCCUAAUUUCAUACCCAUCAGCAAGUUCAAUAGCAUAAGCAUUCGUCAUCUUUCUCGAUUUCAAGCCAAUUAACGGUCUAAAUGCUAAAGAAACAAAACUCCUACCUGCUCCCGCAUCGAACAGUAUGAUGCAAAAUGGUUGUUCAGGAGAAACGUACCUGUUAUCACUUCAGGGUUCUGACGAGCUUCUUCUGCACCAAUCACAAAGGCUACACCACUUGGCCGUCCAACUUGAUUUCCUUGAAAGUUUUGCCUGGCUUGGCCUUGUCCAAUGUUACCAGGUCCAUUGUUCAGUUUGGGACAUGCUCUACGGAGAUGAUCAGUACUCCCGCACUCGUAACAUGUCCUUUUUCCCUCCUUAUUCACCUUACAAUACUUCGAGUAAUGGCCUGUUUGCUUACAGUUUUAGCACAGUGGGCAAGCUCCCUUGUGAUGGAAGUUACACUUAUUGCACUUCGAAAGCGGCCCUGAGUACUGCUUUCGUUCCUGCACUUCCCGUUCUUGAGUUUUCACUGGUUCUUGCUCCUGGGCUCUUACCAUAAAGUUUCUUGAGACUUUCUACUUCCUCCCUGACUUGCCUCCAUACUUCUUCUCUCCCUGAUCUGCUGACUUCCUCUUGCUACUAGAGCUUUCCUUUGUCGAUGCUCUCAUCCUUAUCACAUCAUUGGUUAGUCGAUUUGCUAGACUUACUGCACUUUGAAUAGUAGUUGGGUUUGCUGAGGUAACCAUUCCCCGAAUCUCUGGUGCCAGACCCCAGAUGUAACGAUCUAUCGGUUUCUCCUCAGGAGUAACCAUGUGAGGUACCAGUUUUGCUAGUUCAUGAAAUCGGACUGUGUACUUCUCUAUUUGUGUUCCAACCAUAGAAUGGCUCCAGAAUUCAGAUUCAAGCUUCUGAAGUUCAUCCUUGGGACAAUAUUCCUCUAUCAACAGCUUCUUUAGGUCUUCCCAAGUUAGCUGAUAUGCCACUGUACGGCCUCGGGUUUGCACUAGAGUAUUCCACCAGGUUAAUGCCCUAUCUUGGAAUAGGCAAGAUGCAUACUCACCUUUGUUGUGCUCGAGGAAUUUGCUAAUGUGAAGGACCGACUCCAUGCUAUCAAUCCAUUUCAGCAACCCGACCGCACCUUCCUUUCCAUGGAACUCCUUAGGUUUACAGGCCAUAAAGGACUUGUAGUUACAUUCUCUUUCAUUGUUUCCCCGGUUUCCUCCAUUACUUCCUUGGUUAGCAUUAUGUCCUGUAGUUACUUGAGUAACAAUGUUUGGGAUUGCUUCCAUGAGUUGUUGUGCUACAAUUUGAGCAACAUCGGGUGUUUCGUUCUGUGGGCGCCUGCGAUUAGGCCUUCCUGACAUGGUUCUAUUACACAGGAAAAGAAAUACAUAUAAAUACAUAAAAUAAUGUAUAAUAUUUAGUUCACUACUAUUUUGAAAACUGUAAGUGUUGUCAAAUUAUUGGUUUGCAUAAGUACUAGACAUAUAUAUUUUAGAAAGAAAAGAAAAGAAAAAUCUCUUUAUUCGACCAUUUACCAAAUAAAUUCUAGGGUUUGACCUCAUAGUAAAAGUUUUCAAACAUAAAAUAAAAUUCUUCAUUACCAUUUGACAUUGUCUUAAAAACCAAACCAAUACAUCAAAUCCAAAAUAAAGUUUCAAAUGUUUUUCCCAAAAGACACCCAACAUGGGUUUUCAUUUCAUGACAAAAUAAAAUAAAAUACUGAAAUCAGAACCAAACACUAAUCGCUAUCCCAACAAGAAACAUCAACACCACAAUCAGUAAUAGCCCAACAAGCACAUAAUAUGCGGUCAUCGCACGACAUGCCACUCGUCUAACAGUACUAGCAGUGUCAGCAGUCUCCAUCGAAUGUUGAAACAUGAUUUACAUUCCUGUCACGACUUCAUCCAAAACUUCCCGAUGUCCAGCUAUCACAGCGAGACUGUGACGUAGGUCCGCUGCUAUCGACUGCAAUCUCCGGGACUCCUCCGGGGUCAUACCUGGCUGUCUGACAGGUAUCCCUAUGACUCGCUGUCGUGAGGGUGCUCUCGGUCCUGCAUCGCUGGGUCCUACCCCGCUAGGUCCUUCCGUGCCAUGUCCUGAUGUGCUGGUGGGUAUCCUUCCUGGAAUGGGAACACUCUUCCUCACCGUCCUCCAAAUGCGAAGUCCAUAAAGUGGUGGCUGUGGCAACACUGAUGUAGGUGAUGCCUCGCGUCGUUGACUCUGGGCGUUGUCAUUGUUGAUCUCCACUGAGUUCCCUAUAUCUUCUGUAUCCUCUGAUGGGUCUUCUUCUACCGAGGCAGGGGGAUUACGUCGAGGGAUAACAGUGACGUAGCUGGACUCAUCGGCUGAGGCGGCAGCGUGGGAAGAUGACGAUAUUGACAUAGUGGACUGAGACAUAAUUUCAAUGAGAUAUGAAAUAAAUAACAAUGUAUUCCUAUAGUAUGCAAUGCUUACACACACCAAAAUUAACCUUUUUGAAUUUUUUUUUUGAAAUAAAGCUUUCUCAAAUAUUUUUGUUGAACAUAUUCCCAUUAUAAUUAGCUCAAGCUUUGUAUAAAUCUUUCCUUAAUUGAACAUAGGUGAUCAGGCUAUGUUUAAUCGAGGUCCAAUGAUACAACUCCCGACCUAAUUAUACUAGUAAUAUGUUUGAUGUAAAAAGAAUUUCUUUGUAAGUUUUAGUUAUAGGUUGUGUUUUCUUAAAGAAAAACCGAUGUUCUCUAUAACUUUAGCUCUGAUACCACUUCUGUCACACCCCGCUAAAGCGGAAACGCAAGGUAUGACAGCGAUAACGGUUUCAUUGCAAAAGAUAAAGAUACAUCACCAUAGCAGUAUUUAAAAGUUUACAACCCAUAGCUUCAAAAGAAACAAAAUACAAGUUUUUCAAAAUAACAUUGUUCAAAAUAUAGCUUCAUAAUAGCUUCAACACGAUGCAGCAUGCUCUAUGAUGAUGAAUCUUUACAUCCACUUACUAAUUACUUCCUGAAAAAGCAUGUAAAACGAGCGUCAACUAUGAAAAUAGUUGGUGAGUAUCACAAGUUUAUAAAAAUCGAGCGUACAAUAAGGCUUUUCGUAAAUACAAGUACAUUGCUUCAAUGAUAAACAAGUUGAUUGCUAUUAAUGAAUACAAGUUUAUUGCUAUAACGAGAAACGAGUUUGUAUGUGUAUGAGCAAACAAUGAGUCUCAACCAAACCUAUGACUGAAGCCCUAUCGAGAUCUAUGCUUAUCGUUCCAUAGAUGAAUAUGGUAUCAUGCACUCCAGCGAUUCGGGCGAGUGAGGAGUUGUCAAUUCCUAAUAGCGCUAUCCAUAAUGACCAUUGGCUCAAAGAGUUAAUGGUUAGAGAUAAGGGAAGGGCCUUAGUACGAUAAGUUCUCAUGUUCCGUGUUGCAUAGACAUACAUAAAGAAACAUAGCAAUACAAUAGCAAUCAUGUUUGAUACAAUUCAAUUUAAAUACAACAUGCAAACAGUAGUUUUUCUGGACAUGCUUUUCCACCCCAAAACAUAAAAACCGAAAAUAGGGGAGUGCGUGAAUACUCACGAUGUUUUGUGUAGACACAAGCGGUACUUCGGGAUGCACCAACGUCUUACUACCGGGAUCCUACGACAUCAAACACACACUAGUGAGUUUCCAUGUCGAAAUCUAAUGUUAAUAUACUAAACUCUACAUAUAGUGAAAUGCCAAUUUAUGUUUUAGUAUUUGAUUUUAUAUUAAUUGGUUACACUUUUUCUGAAAUAGUGAAAUUCCACAAAUCGUGCAAUUAAUUACAACAUUGGAAUAUAAAUUUUCCAAAAUUUUAAGUCCUUAUUACAACAUAAAUUCAUGAAAAUAGCAUUCAAAGGAUAAAAAUUCUCAAACUUUUUAUUUAACUGUUAUUACACAAUACUAAGCUGGGAAAAUUAUAAAAAUGGAUUUCCAAGCUGUUUAAUUAUAUUUUAUGAUUUUUGAGCAUUUAUUCCAAUAAAAAUUGAAAUAAAUAGAAAACAGUUUCCAAAAUUACCCAAACUUUUUAAUUAACUGUUAUUGUACAUAUAUAGGCUGGGAAAAAUAUAAAAUAUAUUUUUCAGUGGGUAUUUAUAUUUUUCCUUGUUUUAUUCCUUUAAAUAAUCUUUAAUUGAAGAAAUAAUAUUAAACAGUUAAAAUAAAUUACCAAAAAUUUUUGUAACAUCAUUUACAGUAUAAAUAACCUGAGAAAAAUAUCAAAAGUGGUCUUCAUAUUAUAUAAUCCGGUUUUGGGUAUUUAUGUGUAUUUAAGUGUAAUUAACUUUAGAAAUUAAGAGAAAAAUAGUUUACAGUGGAGUAAACCCUCAAAAUUUUUAUGUAACCUCUACUGUAGAACAUGAUGUUUUGGUAAAUUGUCAUGAAUUUUGGAUAAUCAGAACUAUUUUUCCUAUUUUUAAACCAUUACAAUUACCAAAAAUUGGGAAAAAUAGCAAUGCAUGAUGAAAAAUUCCGAGAUUAUUUUUCUAAGUCAUCCAUCACAGGUGAGGUAUGCGAAAAUUGUUAGAUAAAAUUUUUACACUCUCUAAAGUGGUUUUGUGAUUUAUUAUAUCCUAACAAAAAGAAAAUCGGAAAUUAUACCAAACAGCAACAAAAAUUAAUGAAAUUUAGUGAGGGGUCAUUAUCCAUCAUAAGGGUCAUCCAUGAAUUUGUUCCGGAUUUAUUGACCUCUGGAAGUAUUUUAUGUGAUUUAUGCCGUUGGUUUCUAGCAAUAAUUUUAAUAAAUCAAAGAAAUAAUAAAAGCUUUUGGUAUUUUACAGAUUAUCACAUGCAUGUGAGGCAUUUCAAAAGGAAAAAUUUUCAAAAUUUAAUCAGAAGGGAAAUAGGGGUAUUGAACCCAACCAAGUUAAGAAAUGUUGCAUGCAAUGGUGCAUGAGAUAUAAAUGUGGCUGAAGUUCAUGAAUUUAUGAAGCAAAUUCUGUGGGGUUUUAAGCCACGAAAUUUCAGCCAUCAUUCACUGGAUAUGUUAAGUUUCUAAAGUAUUUUCCCCAGAUUUAUGGUUGGGUUUAAGGCCAUUGAUCUUGCAAGGCAAAAAUGGUGAUCAUAGAAAAAGAGCUGUUUGCGCAACCAUUUUGUAAAAAUUGCCAAAAAUCGGAUAUUUAAUAGUUUACAGUGAGACCAGUUGGGUUUGAAAGUUAACUCAUGGAAAUAUCCAAUACAAAAAUAAUAUCAUGAUUUGGUUAAGAAAUGAACGAGAUAUGGUCGUUCAAAGCUGAAUAAAGUAUCUGGCAGAUUGCAUGUUUGCUUUGAGUGCAUCCUUAGGACAUUUUGACAAGAACAUCAUGCAUGCCUUUGAUAAGGUACCAUUUCUAGCACAUGCACGGAGUGAAUGAGAAUCCAAGCUGUACUAGAAAUGGUUUAAAUGCUUUUGACCAUCCAAGAACACAAAAGAAAUGGAGAAGAAGAUGUAAUACUUGUUUUUGAAGUCACAUGAACAUAUCUGCAUCAUUUUCACUCCUUGCAUGGGUUUGAUCCCGGAUUUUCACCAUUUCAAACACAUGCAUUGUGUUAUGGUGAGAAUAUACAAACCACAAGGUACAAAAUAGAGAUUUCUAGCCAUGGAAAGGCAUAGAAUCCGAAAAGAAGAGAAAACUAAGAAGAAGAGGUAGUAGAAUCAUGAAAUUAUGGGAGAAAAAGUUGUUGUUUACCUUGGUUUUGAUCUUUAGGGAUGUAAGAAGACUUCAAAGUCUUCAAAAUCUCGAAAUUUGGCAGAGGAAUGAGAGAAAUUUCGUGAGUUAGAGAGAUAGAGGAAGAGAGUUUGUGGGUUAGGAGGGUGGAGUGUGAGAGAGUGAAGAGAGAAGAGGUAGAGUGAGGGAGAAGUUCUAAUGAUUGAGUUUUGGGAAGAGGGAGCAUGGGGAGGGGAGAAUGGCCAGAUUUUUGAGUGCAUUAAAGCCUCCUCUCUCCUAAAUUCAAAUUUUAUAAAAUUCCCUCCAACAUUUUUAUAAAACCCCAAAUUUUUAUAAAAGUGUUUAUUAGGCAAUUCUUGAUUUAUUUAGAAAUCUUGUUUUUAACUAAUAAAUUAUGAUUAUUGCAUGAUAAUUUAAUUUCUAUUUCAUUGAUUAUAAUCCAUAAUUUGAUUAAUAAAAAUUUGAUAUUAGAAAGUUUAUAGCCAAAUUUUAUAAAGUUUUUAAGCUUUAAGAUUUAUAAAUUUGGAUUUUGGGCUCUUUAGGGUUUUUGGAAUAUUGUUUGAUGUUCAUCAUCAUAAUGAAGUAUAAUUAGAAUAUUUUAAUUUAUUUUUAGGGUUUUAUACCCUUUUUCAAUUAUAACAAAGCUUGAAAGUUUCAUUCAAAUUAUAGCAUUGGCAUUUCCUAUUGUAGUUAAGCAACUUACUAGAAUCAUAAGUGUCAAGUAUAUUAGUCCUAGGUCUUAGAUGGAUCCUAGUUUAUGCAAGAUUUUGACCUAAUUUAUACUACUAGGCCAUGGCAUGAUGUGCAUGAAUGGUUAUUAUAAAG
RNAcentral lists this long non-coding RNA (8173 nucleotides) under Lactuca sativa (garden lettuce). RNAcentral's name for it is "long non-coding RNA (LSAT_LNC010308)". The record is from RNAcentral. Lineage: Eukaryota; Viridiplantae; Streptophyta; Magnoliopsida; Asterales; Asteraceae.